UUUUCUUUUUCAAAUCGAGAGAUCUCGUUUAGUUAGCAGAAGAAAAGAAGAGACAGGAAGGAAAAACUAAGUGCAAAAAACCGACUGAAUGAGCUUGAAGCAUAUACAUUCUACUACGAGUACUAGAACAACCAAGCAAAACAUCACAAUGGUCUUAGAUCAUCAACAGUAUUGUGCAUUACUUCUUAGGUACUACCCGUAUGCGUUUUGAUGACCAAAGAUUUUCAACACAAUUACGAAUCGAGGUGAAGCGCGUUUUUUUUCAAAAGCUCGAUAUUUUGGAUCGAAUAAGUGCAGUUAUGAAAGUAGUGAAAAUGACGAAAACUUUUGAAAAAAUGUACAUUUCAGUAGAAAUUUGUUCCAAGCACAAAAUAAUCGCAUCUGUGACCGAAGGAGAUUACUUGUACCGCAUUGAAUAGACUUAGUGCUAAGUUAGAUACUUAGUUGCAAAGUGUUGCAUUGUAGUUUGCAAGCAGUAUGAUUCAAUUUAGUAUUUAUCCGUAAUUUAUAAGAGUACAAAAUAGUUUGAAUAAUUUUCAAAUUAACUUAUCGGUGGUGUAGUUCGAAUACUAUCAAAAUUCAUUGUUUUUUAGCUUCAAUUAGCCAUGUAAUAUUAACUUUGGUCCGUAUUUAUUAAUCAUUUUCUCCGAUAGGAUCCAAUCCAGACACCCACAAUGCACUCACGCUUAUUUGCACCUUAUGUUCCUUAAGAGUUUAUUAUGUACGAAUAGAAGUGUAGAAAUCUCGUUUAGCAAGAUAACACUAUUAUCCUUUUAAGAGCAAUUUCAAUCCAAAAGUUCUGCAAAAGAAUUGAUUUUACUGCUUCUUUGGAAGUCAUAGUUUUUGGUCUGAUCGGCUGUGAUGUACCGGAAUUUGAAUGCCGAUUUUAUGGUCACAUUGACCGCUGUUUCUUUAUAGUUAUUUAAGUGAACCCCCUACAAAUAGGCAUAAACAUUUUCUAGGCUUACUGUCCAUUAUCAGCUUAAGCAUGGAUUACCAAUCAAUCGAUUCUAUUCGGCGAUCAAUGAAGUCCCCUAGUUUGAGAAACAUUUUGAACAGAAAGUUAACGAGAACAAUAUUUUUGACAGUAGAAUUGAAUAUAUAUUGAAAUCAAGGUACACACAUAUAGGAACACAAAUGUAUUAUUUGUAAGUAAUGGAUCUUUCAAGUGUGUAACCCAAGCUAGUGACGAUUAUGGGAAUGAUCAUGAUACUUACUCUUUAAUAACUCUCCAUGUAAUCUAUUCAAUAAUCGCAACGAACAGAAGAAAAUGUGGUGGUCAGUAUUUGAAGCGCGUACGUUCAAUCUUACUUUUAUUUAUUUCUAUAAAGGUAUGUACUGCUUGUUACCGUAAAAUGGGGCGAAUAGAAACACUUUCCGACAUGUUUGAAUGUGUACAACUUAAACCGUGUGGAUAAAAUCCAAUUUUAUUAGUCUUAAAUAUGGGUCGCGUCUUCCUUUGCUAAGACCCCAAUCGCUGUUAAAAAAUAAAAAUUAUAUUGUACAAAGAUUUAUGAAAAUGUUGUAUGUUUCUAUUCACCCCGCAAUGGGGCGAAUAGAAACAUUGUUCAGUAAAUAUCAAUACUCUUUUAUUUAAAUGGGAAAAUAAACACAUUUUUAACUGCAUCUUGAUGAAACAUCAACAUGUAUUUACCUAGUGAAGAAAAAAAAUAAAAAUUUUGAAACCAAGUUCAAUUUUAGAUCAUUUUUGAAAUCAGCCAAAAUGGCGGAUGUUUCAAGCUAUCAAAAAUGAUUGAGAUUUAAAUAUUUUCUUCUCAAAUUUUUAAUGAGAAAUGUAGCAAAAUUUUUAAUUUGAAAAUAGUUUAGCGAUACUCUGUUGUUAUUGAACUAAUGGAAAAAAAUAUAUUUCAGUAGGUUUCUAUAGUUUAGCAUUGCAUAAUAGUCGCAUUUUUAACUAAAGGUCGCUUUGUUUCUAUUCGCCCCACUUUUUCUAUUCGCCCCGUUUUACGGUACGUAAACUGAACAUUUGUUGGUUAGAUGGUUCAUGAUAGGUGGGACUCUUUUCUAAAAUGGUAGCACCGCUACUAAUAUAGUAACAGGACUAGACCAGCAUAGUAUGGCAGAAAAAAGAUGCCGAAUUUUAUAGGGCACGUUAAAGAUUUCUGACAUAAGUUUGGAAGAAAGCCAUCUGCAGUUUCUGCUCAUGUAACAAGCAGGCACAUAUAGCAAAAAAUUUGCAAGGGAUUUUUAGCCCAAGAGUUAUGUUGUUUCGUUCUAAAAACAAGUUUAUAACGUUUAAUCGAGAC
Molecule: long non-coding RNA, 2267 nt
Filed under: Aedes aegypti (yellow fever mosquito)
Lineage: Eukaryota; Metazoa; Arthropoda; Insecta; Diptera; Culicidae
Description: lncRNA AAEL026331
Source: RNAcentral